Molecule: long non-coding RNA, 240 nt
Filed under: Capsicum annuum
Lineage: Eukaryota; Viridiplantae; Streptophyta; Magnoliopsida; Solanales; Solanaceae
Description: long non-coding RNA (CANN_LNC006946)
Source: RNAcentral
GGCGAUUGAUGGUGGUGAAGGUUGUUGUAAUGUGACGUUGCUUGAUGUUAGUAGUUUAAGGUUUUGAUUGUAUUGACUGAAACAUGAAUGCAUAAUGAUUGACGAUGUGUUGGUGCUAAUUGGAGAUGUUAUUUGUUGUGACGGUAGAGAUGGUUGUUAGUAGAGAUAAAUUGUAGCGAUGGUACUGGUUGAAGUGGUGGUAGAGGUGGUGUUCCUAGUGACAAUGGUGGCGGCGGCUAA